RNAcentral lists this ribosomal RNA (818 nucleotides) under Microbacterium sp. RNAcentral's name for it is "bacterial SSU rRNA". It matches the Rfam family "Bacterial small subunit ribosomal RNA", at positions 60 to 888 of the family's 1533-position model. Lineage: Bacteria; Bacillati; Actinomycetota; Actinomycetes; Micrococcales; Microbacteriaceae. The record is from RNAcentral.
AGUCGAACGGUGAAGCUCASCUUGCUGGGUGGAUCAGUGGCGAACGGGUGAGUAACACGUGAGCAACCUGCCCCUGACUCUGGGAUAAGCGCUGGAAACGGCGUCUAAUACUGGAUACSAGACGUGAUCGCAUGGUCAACGUUUGGAAAGAUUUUUUGGUUGGGGAUGGGCUCGCGGCCUAUCAGCUUGUUGGUGAGGUAAYGGCUCACCAAGGCGUCGACGGGUAGCCGGCCUGAGAGGGUGACCGGCCACACUGGGACUGAGACACGGCCCAGACUCCUACGGGAGGCAGCAGUGGGGAAUAUUGCACAAUGGGCGGAAGCCUGAUGCAGCAACGCCGCGUGAGGGAUGACGGCCUUCGGGUUGUAAACCUCUUUUAGCAAGGAAGAAGCGAAAGUGACGGUACUUGCAGAAAAAGCGCCGGCUAACUACGUGCCAGCAGCCGCGGUAAUACGUAGGGCGCAAGCGUUAUCCGGAAUUAUUGGGCGUAAAGAGCUCGUAGGCGGUUUGUCGCGUCUGCUGUGAAAUCCCGAGGCUCAACCUCGGGUCUGCAGUGGGUACGGGCAGACUAGAGUGCGGUAGGGGAGAUUGGAAUUCCUGGUGUAGCGGUGGAAUGCGCAGAUAUCAGGAGGAACACCGAUGGCGAAGGCAGAUCUCUGGGCCGUAACUGACGCUGAGGAGCGAAAGGGUGGGGAGCAAACAGGCUUAGAUACCCUGGUAGUCCACCCCGUAAACGUUGGGAACUAGUUGUGGGGUCCUUUCCACGGAUUCCGUGACGCAGCUAACGCAUUAAGUUCCCCGCCUGGGGAGUACGGCCG